CCAGAUAAAUGACUUAUCGCUUUAAUUUAUUUUAAAGAGGAAAGUCCGGGCUCCGCAAGGACACAGUGCCAGGUAAUACCUGGCAGGGGAAACCCUAGGGAGAGUGCCACAGAAAAUAAACCGCCAUAACACGGCAAGGGUGAAAAGGUGUGGUAAGAGCACACCGGUUCUAUUGGUAACAAUGAACGCUGGAAAACCCCACUGGGAGCAAGACU
Molecule: RNase P RNA, 215 nt
Filed under: Candidatus Pelagibacter sp. TMED106
Lineage: Bacteria; Pseudomonadati; Pseudomonadota; Alphaproteobacteria; Candidatus Pelagibacterales; Candidatus Pelagibacteraceae
Description: partial RNase P RNA component class A
Rfam family: Bacterial RNase P class A
About the family: Ribonuclease P (RNase P) is a ubiquitous endoribonuclease, found in archaea, bacteria and eukarya as well as chloroplasts and mitochondria.
Source: RNAcentral